Molecule: ribosomal RNA, 458 nt
Filed under: uncultured bacterium
Lineage: Bacteria
Description: bacterial SSU rRNA
Rfam family: Bacterial small subunit ribosomal RNA
Source: RNAcentral
ACGAACGCUGGCGGCAGGCUUAACACAUGCAAGUCGAACGCUCGGAGCAAUCCGGGAGUGGCGGACGGGUGAGUAACGCGUGGGAACGUGCCCUGAGGUAGGGAAUAACUGCGGGAAACUGCAGCUAAUACCCUAUGAGCCCAUAGCAAUAUGGGGAAAGAUUUAUCGCCUUGGGAGCGGCCCGCGUCGGAUUAGCUAGUUGGUGGGGUAACGGCCUACCAAGGCUUCGAUCCGUAGCUGGUCUGAGAGGACGAUCAGCCACACUGGGACUGAGACACGGCCCAGACUCCUACGGGAGGCAGCAGUGGGGAAUCUUGCGCAAUGGGCGAAAGCCUGACGCAGCCAUGCCGCGUGAACGAUGAAGGCCUUAGGGUUGUAAAGUUCUUUUGCCCGUGACGAUGAUGACGGUAACGGGAGAAUAAGCUCCGGCUAACUUCGUGCCAGCAGCCGCGGUAAUU